AAUGAGAUGCCUGUGCCUUCU
This 21-nucleotide non-coding RNA is filed under the name Rattus norvegicus (Norway rat). Lineage: Eukaryota; Metazoa; Chordata; Mammalia; Rodentia; Muridae. The record is from RNAcentral.